GACGAACGCUGGCGGCGUGCUUAACACAUGCAAGUCGAACGGAAAGGCCCUGCUUUUGUGGGGUGCUCGAGUGGCGAACGGGUGAGUAACACGUGAGUAACCUGCCCUUGACUUUGGGAUAACUUCAGGAAACUGGGGCUAAUAUCGGAUAGGAGCUCCUGCUGCAUGGUGGGGGUUGGAAAGUUUCGGCGGUUGGGGAUGGACUCGCGGCUUAUCAGCUUGUUGGUGGGGUAGUGGAUUACCAAGGCUUUGACGGGUAGCCGGCCUGAGAGGGUGAGCGGCCACAUUGGGACUGAGAUACGGCCCAGACUCCUACGGGAGGCAGCAGUGGGGAAUAGUGCACAAUGGGCGGAAGCCUGAUGCAGCAACGCCGCGUGCGGGAUGACGGCCUUCGGGUUGUAAACCGCUUUCGCCUGUGACGAAGCGUGAGUGACGGUAAUGGGUAAAGAAGCACCGGCUAACUACGUG
This 468-nucleotide ribosomal RNA is filed under the name uncultured bacterium. Its description in RNAcentral is "partial 16S ribosomal RNA". It matches the Rfam family "Bacterial small subunit ribosomal RNA", at positions 28 to 507 of the family's 1533-position model. The record is from RNAcentral.